RNAcentral lists this ribosomal RNA (390 nucleotides) under uncultured bacterium. RNAcentral describes it as "bacterial SSU rRNA". It matches the Rfam family "Bacterial small subunit ribosomal RNA", at positions 28 to 419 of the family's 1533-position model. The record is from RNAcentral.
GACGAACGCUGGCGGCGUGCUUAACACAUGCAAGUCGAGCGGUAAGGCCCUUUCGGGGGUACACGAGCGGCGAACGGGUGAGUAACACGUGGGUGACCUGCCCUCAGCUCUGGGAUAAGCCUGGGAAACCGGGUCUAAUACUGGAUAUGACUCCAUGACGCAUGUUGUGGGGUGGAAAGCCUUGUGCGGCUGAGGAUGGGCCCGCGGCCUAUCAGCUUGUUGGUGGGGUGANGGCCUACCAAGGCGACGACGGGUAGCCGGCCUGAGAGGGCGACCGGCCACACUGGGACUGAGACACGGCCCAGACUCCUACGGGAGGCAGCAGUGGGGAAUCUUGCGCAAUGGGCGAAAGCCUGACGCAGCGACGCCGCGUGAGGGAUGACGGCCUGU